AAGAGAAAUGAAGAAUACUGACUGCCAACAAAAAUCACAGAAGUCCUUUAAUAACUCAAUUCAAAUGUUAAUAAUAUAAAUGCUGAAGUAAGAGAACAACUUCAUGUCAAUUACUUCAACAUCAAUAUAAAAAGUAUCUCUAUCUGAAUAGCAAGUACUAUGAAGAAUGUGGCCGGACAAUCAACACCUUCCACAUAAUCUUUCAUGCUUUGUUUAUCCUUGGAAUAAACAUGUCUUCACCUUUAUGUAAACAUCCACCAAAAUUUGUAUUUGUAUUACCUCCAUCAAAAGCAGUGUAGAAGCAAGGGGAAAUAUGUAUUUUCCACAUUGUAAUUGCUUGUACCCAUGGCUAUGCUGAAAAAAACAAUAAUGAGGCUAUUAAAACACUGAUAAUCUCUGUAAUCGUAAGUGAAGCUAUUUUUGUUGUUGCAGUGGACUUUAUCUUGGCACUUGAAAUUGUGAUUGCAACUUUGGAAUCAGAAAAUACUCUGCCAGUACUACGUUAGGUCAUUUGAGCUGAAAGAAUGAUGAUGGUGUAGAGGGUAUUUACAGCUUCUGCUUGAAUUACUAUAUCUCAAUCUGAAUUCCUGUUAAACGAAGA
RNAcentral lists this long non-coding RNA (601 nucleotides) under Bos taurus (domestic cattle). Its description in RNAcentral is "long non-coding RNA NONBTAT016954". The record is from RNAcentral. Lineage: Eukaryota; Metazoa; Chordata; Mammalia; Artiodactyla; Bovidae.